This 29-nucleotide non-coding RNA is filed under the name Rattus norvegicus (Norway rat). Lineage: Eukaryota; Metazoa; Chordata; Mammalia; Rodentia; Muridae. The record is from RNAcentral.
AGAUAUGGGCCCGCAUUGCACACGAGCAC